This 300-nucleotide ribosomal RNA is filed under the name uncultured Desulfovibrio sp. RNAcentral's name for it is "partial 16S ribosomal RNA". It matches the Rfam family "Bacterial small subunit ribosomal RNA", at positions 496 to 795 of the family's 1533-position model. The record is from RNAcentral. Lineage: Bacteria; Pseudomonadati; Thermodesulfobacteriota; Desulfovibrionia; Desulfovibrionales; Desulfovibrionaceae.
GGGCAUGCGGUGUAAGGAGCGGCGUGAAUAGUGAUGGCCGAAGCGUUGUUCGGAUUUACUGGGCUGAAAGGGUGAGUAGGUGGUGGGGUAAUUCUGAUGUGAAAUCUCCAAGCUUAACUUGGAAAUGGCAUUGGAAACUACCUUGCGAGAGGAUUGGAGGGGAGACUGGAAUUCUUGGUGGAGCAGUGAAAUGCGUAGAUAUCAAGAGGAACACCAGUGGCGAAAGCGAGUCUCUGGACAAUUCCUGACACUGAGGCACGAAAGCUAGGGGAGCAAACAGGAUUAGAUACCCCGGUAGUC